Molecule: transfer RNA, 70 nt
Filed under: Loxodonta africana (African savanna elephant)
Lineage: Eukaryota; Metazoa; Chordata; Mammalia; Proboscidea; Elephantidae
Rfam family: tRNA
About the family: Transfer RNA (tRNA) molecules are approximately 80 nucleotides in length.
Source: Rfam by way of RNAcentral
GCAUUGGUGGUGCAGUGGUAGGAUGCUCACCUUCCAUGUGGGAGACCGGGUUCGAUUCCCUGUCAAUGUA